RNAcentral lists this ribosomal RNA (1881 nucleotides) under Triticum aestivum (bread wheat). Its description in RNAcentral is "partial small subunit ribosomal RNA". Lineage: Eukaryota; Viridiplantae; Streptophyta; Magnoliopsida; Poales; Poaceae. The record is from RNAcentral.
AUGUCACUACCUUCUGGCAAGGCUCCGGGUCCGGACGGAUUUACGACUAGUUUUUUCAAGAGCUGCUGGGAUCUGAUUGGUCCAGAUGUCACGGCUGCACUGAAUCAGUUAUUUAAUCUUAGGGGUAAGAGAUGGAAUCUCCUCAACUCUGCACAAAUAACCUUAAUCCACAAGUCAGAUGAUGCUGUCCGUGUUAAGGACUUCCGCCCCAUAAGUUUGAUGCAUUCAGUGGCUAAGAUUCUGUGUAAAACACUCUCUCUCAGGCUUGCACCCUUCCUCUCCACUUUGGUGCCAUACUCUCAAAGUGCUUUCAUCCAGACUAGAUGCAUACAGGACAAUUUUCUCUAUGUGAAGAAUGCAAUUCGUAUGCUGUACAAAAAUAAGGAGCCUAGCCUCUUCCUGAAGCUUGAUAUUGCUGGUGCUUUUGACUUGGUCUCUUGGGGUUAUUUGCUGGAACUGAUGCAGCGGCUAGGCUUUGGCGCCAAGUGGUGUGACAUGAUCAGCCUGAUCUGGGGUUCUGCUUCAUCGAGAGUUAUGGCAAACGGCGAACUUGGAAAUCGUUUUUAUCACCGUCAAGGUCUGAGGCAGGGUGACCCUCUGUCACCUAUGCUUUUCACGAUUGCGAUCGCGCCGUUGCAUUGGCUGUUUCUAAAGGCUACUACUGUUGGUGCUCUGACUCCACUUCAUCUGCCGCCUUCUCAGCUGCGGGUGAGUCUAUAUGCCGAUGAUGCUGCCCUAUUUUUAUCUCCGACUUCUAGGGACAUUGAGGUCUGCAAAGGAAUUUUUUGUGCUUUUGGCAGCGCCUCUGGACUAUGUGCUAACCUUACCAAGAGUGGUGUCUACCCUGUUUGUUGUGAAGAGCUUGACCUUCAGGCUUUGUUGCAAGCCUUCCCAAUCGCGGUGAUGCAAUUCCCAUGCAAAUACCUCGGCCUGCCAUUACACUACAGGAAGAUCUCGAGGAACGAUGUGCAGCCAACCCUGGACAAGAUGGCCUCGAAACUGCAAAGAUGGCGUGGCAAACUGCUCUCAAGCGAUGCGAGGGUGCGGCUGGUUAACUCGGUCCUCUCUGCCAUCCCCACAUACCUCAUCUCGGUGUUCAAGUUGGACAUAUGGGCCAUCAAACAAAUUGACAAACUCCGAAGGAACUUCCUAUGGAGAUCCAAACCGGAGGCCUCUGGAGGAAUUGCACUUCUGAAUUGGGCCACGGUCUGUCGCCCAAAGAGGCUUGGAGGUCUCGGUGUGCUGGAUAUCAGGAAGUUUGGGCGUGCUCUUCGGCUUCGCUGGAUGUGGUUAGAUAAGCAAAGGGAGAUCAGGCCUUGGACUGGCUCCGUUAUUCCUUGUGAUGAGGUCGACCAGGCACUUUUCAGAGCAUCCUCCACGCUUAAUUUUGGGAAUGGCAGGGACACCUCCUUCUGGCAUGACAGGUGGCUUGACGGCCAAGCUCCCAAAUUCAUGGCCCCUGAUCUGUUUGUACUAAGCACCAAGAAGAAGAUUAGCGUUUCCGAGGCAAUCAAUGGCCAGGCCUGGAUGGCAGGAUUGCGGCGCAUCACUCAGACCUCGCAGCUUCGUCAGUACACACACCUUUGGCUUAGACUACAACAGGUUCAGCUUAACUCUGAAGUAGAUUCAGUCUCUUGGAAGGGCACCACGGAUGGUGUUUACUCUGCACGGUCAGCUUAUCAAUACCAGUUCAUGGGCUCAUACUCCAGUAUCAAUUUUGAGAAGCUUUGGAAGACCAAGGUGGAGGGAAAAUGUCGCUUCUUCAUGUGGCUGUGGUUGCGAGGUCGUGUCCUAACCAAUGAUAAUCUCCAGACCAGAGGGAUCCCUCAUGCCAACUGUGCCCUCUAUGCGAUCAGGAGGAGGAGACACCCUUCCAUCUAA